GACGAACGCUGGCGGCGUGCUUAACACAUGCAAGUCGAACGGAAAGGCCUUGCUUUUGUGGGGUGCUCGAGUGGCGAACGGGUGAGUAACACGUGAGUAACCUGCCCUUGACUUUGGGAUAACUUCAGGAAACUGGGGCUAAUACCGGAUAGGAGCUCCUGCUGCAUGGUGGGGGUUGGAAAGUUUCGUCGGUUGGGGAUAGACUCGCGGCUUAUCAGCUUGUUGGUGGGGUAGUGGCUUACCAAGGCUUUGACGGGUAGCCGGCCUGGUAGGGUGACCGGCCACAUAGGGACUGAGUACCCGCACAGUAUCCUACGGGAUGCAGGAGGGGGAAAACUUGCACAAUGGGCGGAAACCUGAUGCAGGAACGCCGCGGGCGGGAUGGAGGCCUUCCGGUUGUAAACCGCUUUCGCCUGUGACGAAGCGUAAGUGACAGUAAUGGAUAAAGAAGCACCGGCUAACUACGUG
RNAcentral lists this ribosomal RNA (468 nucleotides) under uncultured bacterium. RNAcentral's name for it is "partial 16S ribosomal RNA". It matches the Rfam family "Bacterial small subunit ribosomal RNA", at positions 28 to 507 of the family's 1533-position model. The record is from RNAcentral.